Molecule: long non-coding RNA, 518 nt
Filed under: Monodelphis domestica (gray short-tailed opossum)
Lineage: Eukaryota; Metazoa; Chordata; Mammalia; Didelphimorphia; Didelphidae
Description: lncRNA (ENSMODG00000033045.2)
Source: RNAcentral
UUUGGGUCACCUGCAGUUAGAUUAUGAUGUUCCAUUUUACAAUAAUUUCUGAGCCAUCUGUGUGGGUGUGUGGAAAUGUGGAAGGAAAGAAGGAACGAAGGAAGAAAAAAAGGGAAGGGGUAUGUGAAGAAGGAAAUAAUGAAGGAGGAAGAAACAACAACAAAUAGAAAAAUAUUGCCAGACUCUGUCUUCUAAAGUGAAAACUUCAUAAGCUAUGAAACCAAUUUGGACUCAUAUUCAUGGGCAAAGAUGGACACAGACUAUUGAAGGUGUUCUUAGGGAACAUAUUCUGAGAGUGGCCUUCUGGAGACAAUUACUAUCAUUAUUUUUAGACCAGAUAGAAGAUGAAAGUGAUUUUACUGAUGUCAACACCAUGAUCAUGAUGAAGACAAUGCCACUAGAAGGCCAACAUUCUUAACUGGUAAAAUCAUAACAGUUAACAUUAUAUAGCACUUCAAGGUUUACAUGAAAGAAAAAAAGAAUGUUGCAUAAAUUUUUGGAGAUUUAGUUACUCCACU